GUUUGAAAUACUAAUCUGUGUUACAAACAGGUGCUGAAAAAUGUACAUUAUCAGAAAAUAAUCAAUAAAUGUGUUUUAAAGUUACACCGGAUCAAUUAAAUCCAAAACAUGCACUACUUGUGAACUGUCAUCAAAAUGUCAAUUUCCUACAAUGACAAAAGAAAUUACAUUUUUGUACAUUCCAUCUCUAUAGAUGUUGUCUGUUUAACGUCCCCACCUAAAAAGAAAUAAAAAGACUAUCUUUUUCGUUAUUAUAAACCCGUGUCACGUGAUGUGGCGCGCGCGCUGUACCUAAAAUAAAAGAAAAACUUUCCAAACUAAACAUGAAACUUCUCCGGUAACAAUAAUAUAGACCCCAUACAGAAACAAACAAACAAACAAACA
This 384-nucleotide long non-coding RNA is filed under the name Mytilus galloprovincialis (Mediterranean mussel). The record is from RNAcentral. Lineage: Eukaryota; Metazoa; Mollusca; Bivalvia; Mytilida; Mytilidae.